AGUAAAUGACAAGAUAAUUGGAUAUAUUGAUAAGCAAGUAAAUGACCAGAUAACUGGAUAUAUAUAUGAUAAAUAAAUGCUUGAACAAAUAUAUGAAUAAGGAUUUAAAGCAAUGAAUAUGACCUCAGACAGUUGACCAAAUAACUGGAUGAGUGAUCUCCGUAAAGUAGUCAACCUCUGUAUUUGACCAGAUAACUGGAAGACGGAUCCUUUUCAAUUAAGUGUUGUUUAGUUAUUUUUAGAUGAAAGAUAAAAACUAGAGUUAACAAAGAACAACACAAGAGAUUUAUACUGGUUCACCCAAACAAGGGCUAGUCCAGUCCCGACCAACUGUCGGAAUUCACUCGCCUAAAGGUUAUGGCAAAACCUUAGAGUAUCAAGGAAACUCUUAAGAACCUCUCUAAGCUUUAAGGCUAUUUCGUUUAGGAACUAGUCUUUUACGGGUAGACUCACACCUUAGAGUAUCAAGGGCACUCUUAAGAACCUCUAACUUUUGCGGGUAAGUUAGUACCUUAGAGUAUCAAGGAACUCUUAAAAACCUCUAUAAGCUUUAAGGCUACUUCGCUUAGGAACCAGUCUUUUACGGGUAGACUCACACCUUAGAGUAUCAAGGGCACUCUUAAGAACCUCUAACUUUUGCGGGUAAGUUAGUACCUUAGAAUAUCAAGGAACUCUUAAAAACCU
Molecule: long non-coding RNA, 684 nt
Filed under: Zostera marina
Lineage: Eukaryota; Viridiplantae; Streptophyta; Magnoliopsida; Alismatales; Zosteraceae
Description: long non-coding RNA (ZMAR_LNC004759)
Source: RNAcentral